RNAcentral lists this ribosomal RNA (861 nucleotides) under Lactobacillus delbrueckii subsp. delbrueckii. Its description in RNAcentral is "bacterial SSU rRNA". It matches the Rfam family "Bacterial small subunit ribosomal RNA", at positions 48 to 873 of the family's 1533-position model. The record is from RNAcentral. Lineage: Bacteria; Bacillati; Bacillota; Bacilli; Lactobacillales; Lactobacillaceae.
GCUAUACAUGCAGUCGAGCGAGCUGAUUCAAGAUCCCUUCGGGAUGAUUUGUUGGACGCUAGCGGCGGAUGGGUGAGUAACACGUGGGCAAUCUGCCCUAAAGACUGGGAUACCACUUGGAAACAGGUGCUAAUACCGGAUAACAACAUGAAUCGCAUGAUUCAAGUUUGAAAGGCGGCGCAAGCUGUCACUUUAGGAUGAGCCCGCGGCGCAUUAGCUAGUUGGUGGGGUAAAGGCCUACCAAGGCAAUGAUGCGUAGCCGAGUUGAGAGACUGAUCGGCCACAUUGGGACUGAGACACGGCCCAAACUCCUACGGGAGGCAGCAGUAGGGAAUCUUCCACAAUGGACGCAAGUCUGAUGGAGCAACGCCGCGUGAGUGAAGAAGGUCUUCGGAUCGUAAAGCUCUGUUGUUGGUGAAGAAGGAUAGAGGCAGUAACUGGUCUUUAUUUGACGGUAAUCAACCAGAAAGUCACGGCUAACUACGUGCCAGCAGCCGCGGUAAUACGUACGUGGCAAGCGUUGUCCGGAUUUAUUGGGCGUAAAGCGAGCGCAGGCGGAAUGAUAAGUCUGAUGUGAAAGCCCACGGCUCAACCGUGGAACUGCAUCGGAAACUGUCAUUCUUGAGUGCAGAAGAGGAGAGUGGAACUCCAUGUGUAGCGGUGGAAUGCGUACAUAUAUGGAAGAACACCAGUGGCGAAGGCGGCUCUCUGGUCUGCAACUGACGCUGAGGCUCGAAAGCAUGGGUAGCGAACAGGAUUAGAUACCCUGGCUAGUCCAUGCCGUACACGAUGAACGCUAGGUGUUGGGGGACUUUCCUGGUCCUCAGUGCCGCAGCAAACGCAUUUAAGCGCUCCGUCCUG